GCCCUGGUAGUCUAGUCUGGCCUAGGAUAUCGGAUUGUCACUCCGAUGACCCGGGUUCAAAUCCCGGCCGGGGCG
RNAcentral lists this transfer RNA (75 nucleotides) under archaeon CG10_big_fil_rev_8_21_14_0_10_43_11. Its description in RNAcentral is "tRNA-Asp". It matches the Rfam family "tRNA". Rfam says of the family: Transfer RNA (tRNA) molecules are approximately 80 nucleotides in length. The record is from RNAcentral.